UACGUAGGUGGCAAGCGUUGUCCGGAUUUAUUGGGUUUAAAGGGUGCGUAGGCGGUUCUAUAAGUCAGUGGUGAAAUCCGGCAGCUCAACUGUCGAUGUGCCAUUGAUACUGCAGAACUUGAGUACAGACGAGGUAGGCGGAAUUGACGGUGUAGCGGUGAAAUGCUUAGAUAUCGUCAAGAACACCGAUAGCGAAGGCAGCUACUAGACUGUAACUGACGCUGAUGCACGAAAGUGU
Molecule: ribosomal RNA, 238 nt
Filed under: uncultured bacterium
Lineage: Bacteria
Description: partial 16S ribosomal RNA
Rfam family: Bacterial small subunit ribosomal RNA
Source: RNAcentral